UAAGUUCUAACCCUAACCCUCCUCUCUCGGUCUCCCGACUCUCUCCUCUCCUGUUUUCCCACUACCCCCAAUUCGUUCGCACGCAGCAGCACAACACUCACCCUUCUCUAUCUCUUUCCCAAUAACCUCUCUCUGUCGCUCUCGCUCAUUCCCCCUCGCAGUCGCAGGCUCGCAUCGCAGCUCUUUUGCAGCACAGCAGCCUUUCUGUCUCUCAUUCCCCUUCGUAGUAGCAGCCUCAUCUGUCUCUCUCACAAGUCGCAACAGCAGCCUCUCUCUCUGUCUCUCAUUCCCAGCGACGAAUUCUCACUCUCAAUCACAGCAAAAGGUUAGUCUGAUAGUCUCACACUCACACUCUCACGUUUAAUUUUCUGUUCUACUUAUACAUUUUUAGAGAUUUUAUUUGUAUUUUAGUGAAAAUAUUGAUUGAGCUGUGAUAAGAGAUUGGGUAUUUUUAUGCUUUAGAAAGUAAUUGAAUUGAAUUUGAGCUCAUGACCUCUAAACUUAGGUGGCCUAGGGUUAGAGAUUCAUCUUGUUCCCCCACGAUUGACUUUGUUCGUAAGCCUAUAUUAUGCAUUUUGAUACUGUUAUGUAUCACUAAUAUUUCCAGAGACUAACUGAGAUUAUCUAUUAGUCUUUAUCAAUUUUACUCAGAUACAUGCUCGUACAUGCUGUGUUAUUUGCCCGUACAUGCAGAGCUUCCAUCAUGCACUCAAAAGCCUUCUGCAUCUUCUGCUUGUCCACAUACCCUGCAGCAAGAAUAGACCAGUUAUUUGGGAUUGGAGUCUUACUAAAGAAAUGCAUUUAGGAUCUUGCGGUCUUUAGGAUUUGAACCAUUUAUGUGUAGGCGUUUUGGGCCUUGACCUGCUCUUAGGUUAAAAGAAAUGCAUGUUUGCUCUUCCAAAUUGAUAGUUUGUCUCCAAAGUUGUUCUAAUUGAUAUUGUGUCCAUAACAAAAUAUGUGCUGGAAAACUAUUUUGAAUGUUUGCUCUCUGUGGUUGUUUGUUUGAAUGUUUGCUUUCUGUGGUUGCUUCUUGGAACCCCUGUAGGCUUUAAUUGUUGAGCAGCAGCAGCAUGUUUUGAGCUUAAAUUUUUAAAUAUCAACUUGAAAAUGUUGUUGGUUGACUGACUGUUAAAUACUAACUACUAUCUUCUUAUUAUUUUGUGUGAAUUAGAUGAAGUCAAAGGCGUCAAAGGUCUCAAAGGGCUCAAGCUCAAGUUCAAACUCAAUGAGAUCAAAAUCAACUAGCCCUCAUGAUCAAAUGAACUCAUCUUCGAGUAUACCAUCGGAAGUAAGUAGUCAUACUCAUAUCUUUCUAGUUUCUAUUACUUUAUCCCUUAUGUUUAAUAAUUAAUUCAUUAAUUGUAAUGAUAAGAGUAACCAUCCCAUCUUAUUUGAAUAAUUAAUUGUAUGAUUCUCUUAUUUUAGAUGAACAUUGUUGGUGAAUCAACUCCGCCUCAAAACACCAUGGUGGCACCUCGACAAACCCCGACUUCUCUUAGUGGAUCCGGAAAUCCCUCUGAUGCAACUCCAAAAGAAGGUGAUGCAAGUGACCAAGUAAGUAAAGAAGAAGCUCUUUUAGAAUCAUUAAAAAGUCAUGAAAGGUCUUCAGUUUGGGAACACUUUGAUAGAAAAAUUGAGAGUGGUAGAGUUAAGGGGUUGUGCAAGCAUUGCGCCCAAUCAUAUAUGGCCGACCCGGAUAAAAAUGGUACAACUAAUUUAAGAAACCAUCUAGCAAGAUGUAGAAGCUACGGUCCUAAUAAGGAAAUAUUUGCCGCAAAUAGGCAAAAGAUCUUAACAUUUGCCGGCACGAAAGAUAGGUUGGAAGCUAUAGGUUUUUGUCAAGAGGAAGUAACUAAGGCUUGUGUUGAGAUGAUCAUUAUAGAUGAGUUGCCUUUUACUUUUGUUGAGGGAGAAGGUUUUCGCCGUUUUUGCAUGCAAGCAUGUCCUAUGUGGAGAGUGCCUAGUCGUAAGACAAUUGCUAAGGAUGUACUUAGCUUGUUUUAUUCCGAAAAGGAUAAAUUGAAGAGUCAAUUGAAGACAUUUAGGGUGUGUCUAACAACGGAUACAUGGACUUCUAUUCAACAAAUCAAUUACAUGGUUCUCACCGCCCAUUUUAUUGAUGAUGAUUGGAUGUUGCAUAAAAAAAUUUUGAAUUUUUGUGUCAUUCCAAAUCAUAAAGGAGAGUCCAUUGCUCAACUUUUGGAGGAAUGUUUAGUGGAGUGGGGUAUAGAGAAGGUGUUAACCAUUACGGUUGACAAUGCUUCCGCAAAUGAUUCCGGUUUAAGGGACUUGGUGCACCGAAUAAGUGGGUGGGGGAUUCCUAAUGCACUCUUGCAUGAUGGAAAAUAUUUGCAUAUGAGGUGUGUUGCUCAUAUCCUCAAUUUGGUUGUGAAUGAUGGGAUAAAGUUGUUGAAUACGGCUAUAAAAAGCAUUCGUAACGCGGUUAGGUAUGUAAGAUCUUCCCCUCAAAGGUUGGAAAGCUUUAAAAGGUGUGUUGAGAAAGUGAGAAUAGAGAGCAAAGGGCUUGUGAUUUUGGAUGUCCCUACUAGGUGGAAUUCCACAUUUUUAAUGUUGGAAUCGGCUUUAAAGUUCAAGAUGGCUUUUGAUAGAUUAAAAGUAGAUGAUGGUCAUUACCUUCCGUACUUUGUUAAAGACAAUCAUGAUAAUAUGAGGGAAGGGCCACCUUCGAUAGAUGAUUGGAGUGAGGCGGGGAUAUUUGCAAUCUUUUUGAGACCUUUUUAUGAAGUCACUUUAAAAGUAUGUUGUUCUAAUACUCCAACCGUUCAUACUACUUUUGGUGAUUUGUUUAAGAUCAAAAGUCUCUUGCAUGAAAACAAAGAUGAUGAACUUUUGUCUAUGAUCUCCAAGUUGAUGCAGGAAAAAUAUGACAAGUAUUGGGGUUCACUUGAGGACAUGAAUCGAUAUCUUUUUAUUGCACUUGUGCUUGAUCCUCGCCACAAAUUAGAGAAAGUUGUUGAUUAUUUUGAGAUACAAUUUGGUGAGGAUGAAGAAAAAGUUGAAAGUGCCACAAAUGGGGUGAAAGACUUGUUGAUUGAUCUUUACAAGAUUCAUGAAGAUAUGUCUUUGAGUACACAACAAAGUAUAAGUGGUGGUGGUAGUUCUCAAACGACAAGUGGAGACUCUUCAUCAAGUAUGACCGAAAUAGAAAGAAAGUUGAAAGAAAAAAGUGAAAUGAGAAAAGCAAAGAGAGCCCGGGUUGUGCACAAUGAUGUCGACAAGUAUCUUUCCGAUCCUAAUGAAGGAGAAGAAGAUGAGAACUUUGAUAUAUUGAAUUGGUGGAGGGUGAAUGGGGUUUCUAAGUACCCUAUUUUGGCAUGUGUUGCAAGAGAGAUCUUAGCUAUUCCCGUAUCAACCAUUGCUUCGGAAUCCUCCUUUAGUACAAGUGGACGAAUAAUUGAUCCAUAUCGUAGUUCUUUAAGUCCAAAAAUGGUGGAGGCUUUGAUAUGUACUCAAAAUUGGCUUAGGUCCAUUCAUGUUGCAUUACAUCAUGAGCCAACCAUUGAGGAGAUGGAGUUUUGUGAAGAAGUUGAGAAAGGUAAUUUUAUUUAUUGCAUUUGAUUUUGUUAGAUUAUUUUAAAUCACAUUUUAAUUAGUAUCAUUUUUUUAUUAUUUGUAUGUAGAAAUGACAAGUGGAAGUUCAAAAAAAGGUGAUAUGUUGCCCCCUAGGCCGCCCAAGCGGUAGCAAGCAAAUUGUCAUUGAAAAAGUAGGUGGACUUUGAAAGACUUGAUUAUAAUGGACUUUGAAUUGAAUGUUUAUUUUCAUUGUUUUUGACGAUUUUAUUUAACUUUGGAAUGCUUUUGAUGAUUAUGUUGAAAUGGGACUUAUUACAAAAUGGCUGCAAGUUGUUUUCAAAUUUUCAUAGAAAUUUUUUUAGCUACUUGGAAACCCAAAAAAAAAAAAAAAAAAAAAAAAAAUCGAACCGGGCCGAAACCGAACCGAGAAAAAC
Molecule: long non-coding RNA, 3968 nt
Filed under: Malus domestica (apple)
Lineage: Eukaryota; Viridiplantae; Streptophyta; Magnoliopsida; Rosales; Rosaceae
Description: long non-coding RNA (MDOM_LNC014073)
Source: RNAcentral